ACGGUCCAGACUCCUACGGGAGGCAGCAGUGGGGAAUAUUGCACAAUGGGCGCAAGCCUGAUGCAGCCAUGCCGCGUGUAUGAAGAAGGCCUUCGGGUUGUAAAGUACUUUCAGCGAGGAGGAAGGCAUUAAGGUUAAUAACCUUAGUGAUUGACGUUACUCGCAGAAGAAGCACCGGCUAACUCCGUGCCAGCAGCCGCGGUAAUACGGAGGGUGCAAGCGUUAAUCGGAAUUACUGGGCGUAAAGCGCACGCAGGCGGUCUGUUAAGUCAGAU
Molecule: ribosomal RNA, 275 nt
Filed under: Klebsiella ornithinolytica
Lineage: Bacteria; Pseudomonadati; Pseudomonadota; Gammaproteobacteria; Enterobacterales; Enterobacteriaceae
Also listed under: 1 other name
Description: partial 16S ribosomal RNA
Rfam family: Bacterial small subunit ribosomal RNA
Source: RNAcentral